GAUGAACGCUGGCGGCGUGCUUAACACAUGCAAGUCGAACGGGACUUACUUUAUUGAAACUUCGGUCGAUUUAAUUUAAGUCUAGUGGCGGACGGGUGAGUAACGCGUGGGUAACCUGCCUCACACUGGGGGAUAACAGUCGGAAACGAUUGCUAAUACCCCAUAUGAGGUGAGUUGAAAUACUUAUCUUGAAAACUCCGGUGCUCAAGGAUGAGUCUGCAUCUGAUUAGCUAGUUGGUGGUGUAAUGGACCACCAAGGCGAUGAUCAGUAGCUGGUUUGAGAGGAUGAUCAGCCACAAUGGGACUGAGACACGGCCCAU
This 320-nucleotide ribosomal RNA is filed under the name uncultured bacterium. RNAcentral describes it as "bacterial SSU rRNA". It matches the Rfam family "Bacterial small subunit ribosomal RNA", at positions 28 to 334 of the family's 1533-position model. The record is from RNAcentral.